AGAGUUUGAUCUUGGCUCAGGACGAACGCUGGCGGCGUGCCUAAUACAUGCAAGUCGAGCGAGCGGAACUAACAGAUUUACUUCGGUAAUGACGUUAGGAAAGCGAGCGGCGGAUGGGUGAGUAACACGUGGGGAACCUGCCCCAUAGUCUGGGAUACCACUUGGAAACAGGUGCUAAUACCGGAUAAGAAAGCAGAUCGCAUGAUCAGCUUUUAAAAGGCGGCGUAAGCUGUCGCUAUGGGAUGGCCCCGCGGUGCAUUAGCUAGUUGGUAAGGUAAAGGCUUACCAAGGCGAUGAUGCAUAGCCGAGUUGAGAGACUGAUCGGCUACAUUGGGACUGAGACACGGCCCAAACUCCUACGGGAGGCAGCAGUAGGGAAUCUUCCACAAUGGACGCAAGUCUGAUGGAGCAACGCCGCGUGAGUGAAGAAGGUUUUCGGAUCGUAAAGCUCUGUUGUUGGUGAAGAAGGAUAGAGGUAGUAACUGGCCUUUAUUUGACGGUAAUCAACCAGAAAGUCACGGCUAACUACGUGCCAGCAGCCGCGGUAAUACGUAGGUGGCAAGCGUUGUCCGGAUUUAUUGGGCGUAAAGCGAGCGCAGGCGGAAGAAUAAGUCUGAUGUGAAAGCCCUCGGCUUAACCGAGGAACUGCAUCGGAAACUGUUUUUCUUGAGUGCAGAAGAGGAGAGUGGAACUCCAUGUGUAGCGGUGGAAUGCGUAGAUAUAUGGAAGAACACCAGUGGCGAAGGCGGCUCUCUGGUCUGCAACUGACGCUGAGGCUCGAAAGCAUGGGUAGCGAACAGGAUUAGAUACCCUGGUAGUCC
Molecule: ribosomal RNA, 821 nt
Filed under: uncultured bacterium
Lineage: Bacteria
Description: bacterial SSU rRNA
Rfam family: Bacterial small subunit ribosomal RNA
Source: RNAcentral